Candoia aspera is the source of this 1127-nucleotide long non-coding RNA. RefSeq lists it as uncharacterized. The record is from RefSeq and is a predicted model, not a curated record. The transcript has 2 exons. Lineage: Eukaryota; Metazoa; Chordata; Lepidosauria; Squamata; Candoiidae.
GAAUAAACAACGAACAGAAUGCCCGUGGAAGGGCUGAAGUGGGUGAGGCUGAAUGUAUGGCCACACAGAACUAUUGCAUUAAUGCAGAUGUUGGGCUCCUCUUCUGCACGUGUAUAGCUUUUAAAACAUUCUCUCUAAAAGCUAUUGCCCAGCCACACUACGCAAGACUUCUGCAGUUAGCUCCAUGUACCAGGCUGAGUGUUUGGAGAGAAGAGAUUUAUGGCCAGGUCUGAAGUGUUAUUGAGUGAUAUUGUGAUGCCAGUAAAUCGUAUUAGUGCCACGAGAGCCAGUUUGGUGUAGUGGUGAAGUCACCGGGCUAGAAACCAGGAGGCUGUGAGUUCUAGUCCCGCCUUAGGCACAAAGCCAGCUGGGGGACCUUCGGCCAGUCACUCUCUCUUGACUCUAGGAAGAAGGCAAUGGCAAACCACUUCUGAAAAUCCUGCCAAGAAAACUGCAGGCACUAGUCCAGGCAGUCUCUGAGCACCUCCUCAGUGUUCAGAGUUUGCAGGUAUUCAGUGUCUGAAUGGCAGCUACGUUCCGUCUUCUAACAAGUGCUUCUUGAGGUGACAACCAUAAUGGUACAUUAGGAGACAAUCUUACCUCAUAUUUAUUCCAGAUUCUCAGUAUGGCAUUCCUAAGAAAAUGAUUUUUAAAAUCCUUGUUAACUUUAACUUUAUCAUACCAUAAGUAGGCGUGCCACCCAACUCUUAAAUCAUGUCCUUCAAGCAGUAGUAAUUUCUCAUUCUCCAAAGUAAUCCAUUCCUUCAUCCAAAGCAAACAACAGGCAUCAAAAUACAAUUUCAAAUUAGGCAGACCCAAACCUCCUCGUUCUUUGGCAUCCUGUAACAAUUUAUAUUUAAUUCUUGAUUUCUUGCCUUGCCAAAUAAAUUUUGAAAUCUCUCCCCCCCAUCUUUAAAUGGCUAAUCUGUUGACAAAAUCGAUAAGGUCUGGAAAAGAAACAACAUCCGAGGCAAAACGUCAUCAUCACAGAUAUUCUCCCCAUAAGAGACAAUAAGAGUUUCCCCCAUCUUAUCAAAUCUUUUUUUACAUCAUUCCAAAUUUUACCAUAAUUACCCAUUCCCCCAUUCCAACUUUCCCGUGUCCCUCGUUUUUUCACCUUGAUAUAU